CCUGGCUCCGGUCGAACGCUGGCGGCACGCUUAACACAUGCAAGUCGAACGAGAGAAGAGAAGCUUGCUUUUCUGAUCUAGUGGCGGACGGGUGAGUAACACGUGAGCAAUCUGCCUUUCAGAGGGGGAUACCGAUUGGAAACGAUCGUUAAUACCGCAUAACAUAAUUGAACCGCAUGAUUUGAUUAUCAAAGAUUUAUCGCUGAAAGAUGAGCUCGCGUCUGAUUAGCUAGUUGGUAAGGUAACGGCUUACCAAGGCGACGAUCAGUAGCCGGACUGAGAGGUUGAUCGGCCACAUUGGGACUGAGACACGGCCCAGACUCCUACGGGAGGCAGCAGUGGGGAAUAUUGCACAAUGGAGGAAACUCUGAUGCAGCGAUGCCGCGUGAGGGAAGAAGGUUUUAGGAUUGUAAACCUCUGUCUUCAGGGACGAAAAAAGACGGUACCUGAGGAGGAAGCUCCGGCUAACUACGUGCCAGCAGCCGCGGUAAUACGUAGGGAGCGAGCGUUGUCCGGAAUUACUGGGUGUAAAGGGAGCGUAGGCGGGAUCGCAAGUCAGAUGUGAAAACUAUGGGCUUAACCCAUAAACUGCAUUUGAAACUGUGGUUCUUGAGUGAAGUAGAGGUAAGCGGAAUUCCUAGUGUAGCGGUGAAAUGCGUAGAUAUUAGGAGGAACAUCAGUGGCGAAGGCGGCUUACUGGGCUUUAACUGACGCUGAGGCUCGAAAGCGUGGGGAGCAAACAGGAUUAGAUACCCUGGUAGUCCACGCCGUAAACGAUGAUUACUAGGUGUGGGGGGACUGACCCCUUCCGUGCCGCAGCAAACGCAAUAAGUAAUCCACCUGGGGAGUACGACCGCAAGGUUGAAACUCAAAGGAAUUGACGGGGGCCCGCACAAGCAGUGGAGUAUGUGGAUUAAUUCGAAGCAACGCGAAGAACCUUACCAGGUCUUGACAUCGUAUGCAUAGCUCAGAGAUGAGUGAAAUCUCUUCGGAGACAUAUAGACAGGUGGUGCAUGGUUGUCGUCAGCUCGUGUCGUGAGAUGUUGGGUUAAGUCCCGCAACGAGCGCAACCCUUACUGUUAGUUGCUACGCAAGAGCACUCUAGCAGGACUGCCGUUGACAAAACGGAGGAAGGUGGGGAUGACGUCAAAUCAUCAUGCCCUUUAUGACCUGGGCCUCACACGUACUACAAUGGCUGUCAACAGAGGGAAGCAAAGCCGCGAGGUGGAGCAAACCCCUAAAAGCAGUCUUAGUUCGGAUUGUAGGCUGCAACCCGCCUACAUGAAGUCGGAAUUGCUAGUAAUCGCAGAUCAGCAUGCUGCGGUGAAUACGUUCCCGGGCCU
This 1343-nucleotide ribosomal RNA is filed under the name uncultured bacterium. Its description in RNAcentral is "bacterial SSU rRNA". It matches the Rfam family "Bacterial small subunit ribosomal RNA", at positions 18 to 1381 of the family's 1533-position model. The record is from RNAcentral.